Long non-coding RNA from Helianthus annuus (common sunflower), 2007 nucleotides. RefSeq lists it as uncharacterized. NCBI's taxonomy places the organism in Eukaryota, Viridiplantae, Streptophyta, Magnoliopsida, Asterales, Asteraceae. The record is from RefSeq and is a predicted model, not a curated record. The transcript has 7 exons.
UAGAGUAGUUGAGAGUUUAGGUAUAAAACUAUCUAUUAUCUAUAUUAAAACAAUACAAACUUAUGCCACUUGGCAUUCACUUAAACCACUCAUUGCCACGUGUAUUCCUCUUAAUUCACGCGUUUUGUGUUUAGGCGCUAAAACAAAAGCCUGUAAACCCUAAUGCAGUUUCUUCCUUCCUACGCCAAUUAUCUUUAAUUCACCCAUAAAUGAAUUCAAUCAAUGGCGGAGUUACCUUUUUAUUCUCCCAUUGAUUGAGGGUUGUUACAAUCAAAAACCCUACAUCUAGCGUUUCCUUUCAUCCUUUAUCCUCCCAAUUGAAAUGAAAGAUCUCAUCUCUCUACCACCACAUUAAUGCCGCCACCAUGGUGAUGAAGAUGAUGAAUACGAUUUUGAGGAUUGCAAUUAUGGUGAUGAAGAUGAUACGGUCCGUUCGUUUUUAUUUGAUUUUUAUGUUGUUAAUGAAUCUACUUAUGUACAUGAUUGAAUAGAAUUUAGGGAUUUGUACAAGAAGCUCAGAAUCUAACAUCUGGAUGCUACAAGAAGCUUGAAAUCGAUGAGGACUAAAAGAUUGUGGAGAUGGGUUUUGUAACUCAAAUGGUUAGCUUAUGUGAGAAGGAACCACCUGCAAUCAAGAAGUCCAAAAUAGGAAAGGGCAAUAUAGGUGGAUUCAAGGCGCUUGAAUCGUUUCCAGCCAAGGCAUAACCCGAAGAACCUACUUCGAGCAAGAUUUAUGUGUGCUGCUUCUAUAUGUGGCUUGAUUAAAGACUGAUGUGAUUCAGGGUGGUUUUCCGGCGAGUUGGAUACUCUGACUCGGGUAAAGAUGUUGGGUGUUUUGCUGGGACUAAUGUUGUAUAGUGAUAGUUGUUUGUUUUGCGGGUAAAGAUGUUGGGCUUUGAGUCUUAGCAGAGUAGCAAGUCCUUGGAACUUCAAUUUAAUUCCUGGGUUUGCAUACAAUAGGGCCCGUAAUUUAAUACCUACAGUCAUUACAUAUUUGAUGACUAUUUUUUUCAUUGUUUUAAUAAACGGACAAGCCGGUUCAAUCAGGAUUUAGAAGGUGUGCCUGUUCAUUUUUGCUAAACGAACGGCUGAACCAGAUCCAUUGUGGUUCAGGUGCUGGGUUUACUUUAUAUGGGUGUGAAAACUUUGUGUUUUGUUAAGAUGCCCGAUGUGGGACUCCUUUUUUGUGGUAGAAAAAUACCUUUUAGUUUUGUGGGACUCUUUAAGUGUAGAUAGGUUAAAUUUGAAUAAAUUUUUUGUAUCAGUCUAGAAGUCUAGAACUCGUGAUCUAAAAGAAUUAGAAAAUCUCUUUUUUGCCAACUUCGUGUCGGUGGUCUACUAAUGUUUCUUAAUGAUAAUAAUGUUGGCAGGCGAAACAAUAGUCAGUCUAUUUAAUGAUGCCAUCAAGUGGCUCAUAAGACAAGAUGCACACAAAUGGUUAUUGAACACAAGUACUCAUAUCCACGUACCAUACAACCAUUUGAAGCCUUAAGAGGGCAAACAAUACUUUUUGAGCUUAGGAUCAAUAGCCGCUCCCACCCAGACGCGACACAGUUUGUUUUCAGCCAAGUGCUCAAUGCAGUAGCCACUAUACAACAAAUUCCUCUCUUUAUUUGCUGAUAUGUAGUAAGUGCAAAUUCUGGUAAGAAGCAAUCAUUAGAAGAGAUGUUGGUGGCCAAAUUGCACAUUCUGCAGGAGCUUCAUUGAGCUUGCCUUAUACAAGUAAGACAGGUAAAGUAGCAAGGAUUAAAUAUACAACUUCAUUCACCUCAGCAAGCUGUGAAUACAAGAUUGUCCAUGUAUUGAGUCAUAUUUACAAGAUUGUCCAUGUAUUGAGUCAUAUCCUAACCUUGGGCUAUAGAAUCCGACUUUGUUAAAAUAUAUGUUUAUCAUUGGCCGUCAACUUUGGAUGAUUCCUUUCAUCAUGUACAAUCAUACUUGGUAUAUGGUUUGAUUCGAACCUUGGGCUAUAGAACCCGUAAUCGCUUAUUUCAACAUCUGUCAUCU